RNAcentral lists this ribosomal RNA (345 nucleotides) under uncultured Geobacillus sp. RNAcentral's name for it is "bacterial SSU rRNA". It matches the Rfam family "Bacterial small subunit ribosomal RNA", at positions 1035 to 1382 of the family's 1533-position model. Lineage: Bacteria; Bacillati; Bacillota; Bacilli; Caryophanales; Anoxybacillaceae. The record is from RNAcentral.
CAGGUGGUGCAUGGUUGUCGUCAGCUCGUGUCGUGAGAUGUUGGGUUAAGUCCCGCAACGAGCGCAACCCUCGCCUCUAGUUGCCAGCAUUCGGUUGGCACUCUAGAGGGACUGCCGGCGACAAGUCGGAGGAAGGUGGGGAUGACGUCAAAUCAUCAUGCCCCUUAUGACCUGGGCUACACACGUACUACAAUGGGCGGUACAAAGGGCUGCGAACCCGCGAGGGGGAGCGAAUCCCAAAAAGCCGCUCUCAGUUCGGAUUGCAGGCUGCAACUCGCCUGCAUGAAGCCGGAACCGCUAGUAAUCGCGGAUCAGCAUGCCGCGGUGAAUACGUUCCCGGGCCUU